UACUAUAAAAAUAAUUAAACUGAAUCACACUGAUUCAGUUCCAUUUAAUUUAAUUUAAUAAAAACCGAAAUUAUUAAUGGAGUUCACUCCCCAGUUGCCCUCGCUAAACCAAAUUUGUAACUUUUCAUCACCAAACAAACACACUUAACAACUCAUCAAAGGCAAAGCUAGAUGAAUUAAACAAAUGAAACAUAAAUUAAUCUUAAUCAAAGGAAAA
Molecule: unclassified non-coding RNA, 217 nt
Filed under: Hevea brasiliensis (rubber tree)
Lineage: Eukaryota; Viridiplantae; Streptophyta; Magnoliopsida; Malpighiales; Euphorbiaceae
Source: RNAcentral